This 1007-nucleotide long non-coding RNA is filed under the name Phasianus colchicus (ring-necked pheasant). Its description in RNAcentral is "lncRNA (ENSPCLG00000005746.1)". Lineage: Eukaryota; Metazoa; Chordata; Aves; Galliformes; Phasianidae. The record is from RNAcentral.
GUGCCAUGAGUUUGCUAUAGAAUUAUGGACCAGGAGUUUAAAGUGAAAUGCAUUAAAAUAAUAAUAAUAAUAAUAGUUUUGAAUUAGCUACUAAUACUUCAGAAGUGAAUUAGGAUUUUCUUGACAUAAUCAUCCCAUGUAUGCAGAGAAAAGAUGGCGCCUCCUAUGAUGCAGUGUGGAAAAUAAGCAAUAGUCCCAGAACUUCUGCUUAAUUACUGACAAACUAAAAGACAAGGACAAAACAAAAUAAUGAAAACAUACCUCUCAACUGAAACCAGCGUGCCAAAAUACGAUUCAGGUGACAUCAGACUUUAUUUAGAGAACAGUGUUAAAGAUAACCAUAAGAAAAAGUGAUGAUGAAAUCCAGCAGUAUGAAAAAAAAAACAGAAGCACGAAACACCCAUUUUGCUUUGUGAAACUUUCAGGGAACAUCAUUCAAAUUUUAAGCAAACAUAUUUUAUGGAAAUCAGUGUACUUUAUACCCUGGUGGGGUAAGACCUAUCUUACCAGCCAGGUAGGACAGGCCGGCAAACUAAGUAUGUUAAGAAAACCACCUGUCACUCAUCUUCAACAACAGUUAAGCUUUAAGGCACGUAAGGUUACAUCCAAACACGUUCUUGGUUUGGUAUGUUAUAGAGAUGUUGGCGUGUCACUUAGCAGUUGAAGUAACAGAAACAGCAUUUCCCAGGUGAAGCUUCUCUGUCAGCUGGGUUCAGGUGAGUUAGCUCAUCCCUAGUAGACACAGAGAACAAUCCUCCUCUGUCUUUUUUCAACAGACUUUCACAUAUUAGAACUUUAUCUCUAUGCCUUCUCUUUGCCAGAUUAAACAACUCAGGACUUUUUACAGGUCAGGUUUUGUUGUCCAUAACCUUGUUUCUUUCUCUGUGCUUUGUCUUGAAAGAUGAUGACCACAGCUGGACACCAUCCUCCAACAGAGGCUUUCCCAGCCCCAAGUGCAGCAAUUUGUACAUGUGCCUUCUGCACAAAACUCUUAACUAUGGUCUCAG